CCUACGGGAGGCUGCAGUGAGGAAUAUUGGUCAAUGGUCGGGAGACUGAACCAGCCAAGCCGCGUGAGGGAUGAAGGUACAGAGUAUCGUAAACCUCUUUUGUCAGGGAACAAAGGCGGGGACGUGUCCCCGGAUGAGUGUACCUGAAGAAAAAGCAUCGGCUAACUCCGUGCCAGCAGCCGCGGUAAUCCGGAGGAUGCGAGCGUUAUCCGGAUUUAUUGGGUUUAAAGGGUGCGCAGGCGGACUGUUAAGUCAGCGGUCAAACCCCGGGGCUCAACCCCGGCGCGCCGUUGAAACUGGCAGUCUCGAGUUGGAGAGAAGUAUGCGGAAUGCGCGGUGUAGCGGUGAAAUGCAUAGAUAUCGCGCAGAACUCCGAUUGCGAAGGCAGCAUGCCGGCUCCACACUGACGCUGAGGCACGAAAGCGUGGGUAUCGAACAGGAUUAGAUACCCCAGUAGUC
RNAcentral lists this ribosomal RNA (459 nucleotides) under uncultured bacterium. Its description in RNAcentral is "partial 16S ribosomal RNA". It matches the Rfam family "Bacterial small subunit ribosomal RNA", at positions 338 to 795 of the family's 1533-position model. The record is from RNAcentral.